This 415-nucleotide ribosomal RNA is filed under the name uncultured eukaryote. RNAcentral's name for it is "bacterial SSU rRNA". It matches the Rfam family "Eukaryotic small subunit ribosomal RNA", at positions 592 to 1013 of the family's 1831-position model. The record is from RNAcentral.
CAAUAGCGUAUAUUAAAGUUGUUGCAGUUAAAAAGCUCGUAGUUGAACUUCGGAACCGGUCGAUUGGUCCGUCCUCUGGAUUGUGUACUGAUCGAUCUGUUCUUCUUCGCGAAGACCGCGUGUGCCCUUAACUGGGUGUGCACGGGAUUCACGACGUUUACUUGAAAAAAUUAGAGUGUUCAAAGCAGGCAUUCGCUUGAAUAUCUCAGCAUGGAAUAAUGGAAUAGGACUUUGGUUCUAUUUUGUUGGUUUCUUGAACCGAAGUAAUGAUUAAUAGGGACAGUUGGGGGCAUUCAUAUUCCAUUGUCAGAGGUGAAAUUCUUGGAUUAACGGAAGAUGAACUUCUGCGAAAGCAUCUGCCAAGGAUGUUUUCAUUGAUCAAGAACGAAAGUUAGGGGAUCGAAGAUGAUUAGAU